Molecule: ribosomal RNA, 494 nt
Filed under: uncultured bacterium
Lineage: Bacteria
Description: partial 16S ribosomal RNA
Rfam family: Bacterial small subunit ribosomal RNA
Source: RNAcentral
GAUGAACGCUAGCGGCAGGCUCAACACAUGCAAGUCGAGGGGUAUAGUUCUUCGGAACUAGAGACCGGCGCACGGGUGCGUAACGCGUAUGCAAUCUACCUUUUACAGGGGAAUAGCCCAGAGAAAUUUGGAUUAAUGCCCCAUAGUAUAGUUUAUUCGCAUGAGUAGAUUAUUAAAGUUCCAACGGUAAAAGAUGAGCAUGCGUCCCAUUAGCUAGAUGGUAAGGUAACGGCUUACCAUGGCGACGAUGGGUAGGGGUACUGAGAGGGAGAUCCCCCACACUGGUACUGAGACACGGACCAGACUCCUACGGGAGGCAGCAGUGAGGAAUAUUGGUCAAUGGACGCAAGUCUGAACCAGCCAUGCCGCGUGCAGGAUGACGGUCCUAUGGAUUGUAAACUGCUUUUGUACGAGAAGAAACACUGCUACGUGUAGCAGCUUGACGGUAUCGUAAGAAUAAGGAUCGGCUAACUCCGUGCCAGCAGCCGCCGUAA